AUACAUGCAAGUCGAGCGGACCGACGGGAGCUUGCUCCCUUAGGUCAGCGGCGGACGGGUGAGUAACACGUGGGUAACCUGCCUGUAAGACUGGGAUAACUCCGGGAAACCGGGGCUAAUACCGGAUGCUUGAUUGAACCGCAUGGUUCAAUCAUGAAAGGCGGCUUCGGCUGCCGUUUACAGAUGGACCCGCGGCGCAUUAGCUAGUUGGUGAGGUAACGGCUCACCAAGGCGACGAUGCGUAGCCGACCUGAGAGGGUGAUCGGCCACACUGGGACUGAGACACGGCCCAGACUCCUACGGGAGGCAGCAGUAGGGAAUCUUCCGCAAUGGACGAAAGUCUGACGGAGCAACGCCGCGUGAGUGAUGAAGGUUUUCGGAUCGUAAAGCUCUGUUGUUAGGGAAGAACAAGUACCGUUCGAAUAGGGCGGUACCUUGACGGUACCUAACCAGAAAGCCACGGCUAACUACGUGCCAGCAGCCGCGGUAAUGCGUAGGGGCAAGCGUUGUCCGGAAUUAUUGGGCGUAAAGCGCGCGCGGCGUUUCUAAGUCUGAUGUGAAGCCCCGGCUCA
This 572-nucleotide ribosomal RNA is filed under the name Bacillus sp. (in: firmicutes). RNAcentral's name for it is "bacterial SSU rRNA". It matches the Rfam family "Bacterial small subunit ribosomal RNA", at positions 51 to 611 of the family's 1533-position model. Lineage: Bacteria; Bacillati; Bacillota; Bacilli; Caryophanales; Bacillaceae. The record is from RNAcentral.